RNAcentral lists this ribosomal RNA (497 nucleotides) under uncultured bacterium. RNAcentral's name for it is "partial 16S ribosomal RNA". It matches the Rfam family "Bacterial small subunit ribosomal RNA", at positions 28 to 507 of the family's 1533-position model. The record is from RNAcentral.
GAUGAACGCUGGCGGCGUGCCUAAUACAUGCAAGUCGAGCGAACAGACGAGGAGCUUGCUCCUCUGACGUUAGCGGCGGACGGGUGAGUAACACGUGGAUAACCUACCUAUAAGACUGGGAUAACUUCGGGAAACCGGAGCUAAUACCGGAUAAUAUAUUGAACCGCAUGGUUCAAUAGUGAAAGACGGUUUUGCUGUCACUUAUAGAUGGAUCCGCGCCGCAUUAGCUAGUUGGUAAGGUAACGGCUUACCAAGGCAACGAUGCGUAGACGAACUGAGAGGGUGAUCGGCCACACUGGAACUGAGACACGGUCCAGACUCCUACGGGAGGCAGCAGUAGGGAAUCUUCCGCAAAGGGCGAAAGCCUGACGGAGCAACGCCGCGUGAGUGAUGAAGGUCUUCGGAGCGUAAAACUCUGUUAUUAGGGAAGAACAAAUGUGUAAGUAACUAUGCACGUCUUGACGGUACCUAAUCAGAAAGCCACGGCUAACUACGUG